This 520-nucleotide ribosomal RNA is filed under the name Phycisphaerae bacterium. Its description in RNAcentral is "partial 23S ribosomal RNA". It matches the Rfam family "Bacterial large subunit ribosomal RNA", at positions 1 to 512 of the family's 2925-position model. The record is from RNAcentral. Lineage: Bacteria; Pseudomonadati; Planctomycetota; Phycisphaerae.
GGUCAAGCUACUAAGGGUAUAAGGUGGAUGUCUAGGCGUGAUGAGGCGAUGAAGGACGUGGCAGGCUGCGAUAAGUCCUGGGAAGCUGUCAAGCAAGCGUUGAUCCAGGAAUUUCCGAAUGUGGAAACACAGCAUUACAGUUUACGCUGAUAAUGUUACCGAUAUCUGAAUUCAUAGGAUGUCGGGGUGAACGCAGGGAACUGAAACAUCUCAGUACCNNNNNNNNNNAACCGAGACUCCGUUAGUAGCGGCGAGCGAAAGCGGAUUUAGCCCAAACCGUUCCUACGGGAGCGGGGUUGCGGGCACGUUGAAGGAGUUACAAAGGUUUUGGUAGUUGAAUAGUUUGGAAAGACUAACGAUACAGGGUGAUAGUCCCGUAAACGAAGCCAACAACCCUCCGUUACUUAACGUGUACCAGAGUAGCACCGAUGCCGUGAAACUCGGUGUGAAGCUGGGGAGUCCACUCUCCAAGGCUAAGUACUACAUCACGACCAAUAGUGAACCAGUAGGGUGACUGAAC